CUGUAUGAAAUGGUUAAUUAUUUCCUAAAAGUCGUGCAACAGGAACAAGAAGCUACCCAAAGCAUUAAAUGCUUGUUUAAAACAAGAGCACAGAUAUCAGCUAAGACUGAAACGAGGAAUUUCCACUUUAUAGAUUGUUUCACAUGGACUGUGGUUUAUCAUCAUUUCAGCAAGUACUCGGUCUGUAAGACCCAUCACCAAUAUUUUCCCCUACAAUUCUUUUUAUCAGAACUAUACAAAGUACGAAGAUGGUGAGGAUGCAGAUGGAAUUGUGUCUAACUGCAUGUUACUGAGGAAUGAUUCCAUACUGGGAGUUUACCACAAAGAAAAAGCAAAUCCCUCCUCAGGAAUGCUGGGGACGAGC
This is a long non-coding RNA of Gallus gallus (chicken), 364 nucleotides long. The record is from Ensembl. Lineage: Eukaryota; Metazoa; Chordata; Aves; Galliformes; Phasianidae.